This 466-nucleotide ribosomal RNA is filed under the name uncultured delta proteobacterium. RNAcentral's name for it is "bacterial SSU rRNA". It matches the Rfam family "Bacterial small subunit ribosomal RNA", at positions 338 to 795 of the family's 1533-position model. The record is from RNAcentral. Lineage: Bacteria; Deltaproteobacteria.
CCUACGGGGGGCUGCAGUGAGGAAUCUUGCGCAAUGGGGGCAACCCUGACGCAGCAACGCCGCGUGAGUGAUGAAGGCCUUCGGGUCGUAAAGCUCUGUCAGGUGGGAAGAAACUCCCCAUGGUAAAUAAUCAUGGGGAUUGACGGUACCGCCAGAGGAAGCACCGGCUAACUCCGUGCCAGCAGCCGCGGUAAUACGGAGGGUGCAAGCGUUGUUCGGAAUUAUUGGGCGUAAAGAGCGUGUAGGCGGUUAGGUAAGUCAGAUGUGAAAGCCCUUGGCUUAACCAAGGAAGUGCAUUUGAAACUACUUAGCUUGAGUACGGGAGGGGGAAGCGGAAUUCCCGGUGUAGAGGUGAAAUUCGUAGAUAUCGGGAGGAACACCGGUGGCGAAGGCGGCUGCCUGGACCGAUACUGACGCUGAGACGCGAAAGCGUGGGGAGCAAACAGGAUUAGAUACCCCUGUAGUC